This 330-nucleotide ribosomal RNA is filed under the name uncultured eukaryote. Its description in RNAcentral is "partial 18S ribosomal RNA". It matches the Rfam family "Eukaryotic small subunit ribosomal RNA", at positions 1470 to 1796 of the family's 1831-position model. The record is from RNAcentral.
CCCUUAGAUGUUCUGGGCUGCACGCGCGCUACACUGAAGCGUUCAACGAGUAUUCACCUUGCCCGGGAGGGUUGGGUAAUCUUUUGAAAACGCUUCGUGAUGGGGAUAGAUUAUUGCAAUUAUUAAUCUUCAACGAGGAAUUCCUAGUAAGCGCGAGUCAUCAGCUCGUGCUGAUUACGUCCCUGCCCUUUGUACACACCGCCCGUCGCUCCUACCGAUUGAAUGGUCCGGUGAAAAUUUCGGACAGUGACGAUGCUGGCGGUCCGCCGCCGGCGCUGUCGCUGGAAGAUCUUUAAACCUUAUCAUUUAGAGGAAGGAGAAGUCGUANCA